This 495-nucleotide ribosomal RNA is filed under the name uncultured bacterium. RNAcentral describes it as "partial 16S ribosomal RNA". It matches the Rfam family "Bacterial small subunit ribosomal RNA", at positions 28 to 507 of the family's 1533-position model. The record is from RNAcentral.
GACGAACGCUGGCGGCGUGCCUAAUACAUGCAAGUAGAACGCUGAAGGAGGAGCUUGCUUCUCUGGAUGAGUUGCGAACGGGUGAGUAACGCGUAGGUAACCUGCCUGGUAGCGGGGGAUAACUAUUGGAAACGAUAGCUAAUACCGCAUAAGAGUAGAUGUCGCAUGACAUUUGCUUAAAAGGUGCAAUUGCAUCACUACCAGAUGGACCUGCGUUGUAUUAGCUAGUUGGUGGGGUAACGGCUCACCAAGGCGACGAUACAUAGCCGACCUGAGAGGGUGAUCGGCCACACUGGGACUGAGACACGGCCCAGACUCCUACGGGAGGCAGCAGUAGGGAAUCUUCGGAAAUGGACGGAAGUCUGAACGAGCAACGCCGCGUGAGUGAAGAAGGUUUUCGGAUCGUAAAGCUCUGUUGUAAGAGAAGAACGAGUGUGAGAGUGGAAAGUUCACACUGUGACGGUAUCUUACCAGAAAGGGACGGCUAACUACGUG